AACGCGAAGAACCUUACCUGGGCUCGAAAUAUAGAGGACGAUAUCAGAGAUGAUAUUUCUCGAAAGGGUCUUUAUAUAGGUGCUGCAUGGCUGUCGUCAGCUCGUGCCGUGAGGUGUUUGGUUAAGUCCAGCAACGAGCGCAACCCUUAUCGUUAGUUGCCAACGCGUAAAGGCGGGAACUCUAACGAGACUGCCUGGGUUAACCAGGAGGAAGGUGAGGAUGACGUCAAGUCCGCAUGGCCUUUAUGUCCAGGGCUACACACGUGCUACAAUGGUCGGUACAGAAGGCAGCGAAACCGUAAGGCGAAGCAAAUCCUGAAAAACCGAUCUCAGUUCAGAUUGUAGACUGCAACUCGUCUACAUGAAGUUGGAAUUGCUAGUAAUGGCGUGUCAGCAACAACGCCGUGAAUACGUUCCCGGGCCUUGUA
RNAcentral lists this ribosomal RNA (428 nucleotides) under uncultured Chlamydiae bacterium. RNAcentral describes it as "bacterial SSU rRNA". It matches the Rfam family "Bacterial small subunit ribosomal RNA", at positions 958 to 1385 of the family's 1533-position model. Lineage: Bacteria; Pseudomonadati; Chlamydiota; Chlamydiia. The record is from RNAcentral.